RNAcentral lists this ribosomal RNA (253 nucleotides) under uncultured bacterium. RNAcentral's name for it is "partial 16S ribosomal RNA". It matches the Rfam family "Bacterial small subunit ribosomal RNA", at positions 524 to 776 of the family's 1533-position model. The record is from RNAcentral.
UACGUAGGGUGCAAGCGUUAAUCGGAAUUACUGGGCGUAAAGCGUGCGCAGGCGGUUUUGUAAGACUGUCGUGAAAUCCCCGGGCUUAACCUGGGAACUGCGUUUGAAACUACAAGGCUAGAGUGUGGCAGAGGGGGGUGGAAUUCCACGUGUAGCAGUGAAAUGCGUAGAGAUGUGGAGGAACACCGAUGGCGAAGGCAGCCCCCUGGGCUAACACUGACGCUCAUGCACGAAAGCGUGGGGAGCAAACAGG